UACGUAGGGUGCAAGCGUUGUCCGGAAUUAUUGGGCGUAAAGAGCUCGUAGGCGGCUUGUCACGUCUGCUGUGAAAACUCGGGGCUCAACCCCGAGCCUGCAGUGGAUACGGGCUAGCUAGAGUGCGGUAGGGGAGACUGGAAUUCCUGGUGUAGCGGUGAAAUGCGCAGAUAUCAGGAGGAACACCGGUGGCGAAGGCGGGUCUCUGGACCGAUACUGACGCUGAGGAGCGAAAGCGUGGGGAGCGAACGGG
Molecule: ribosomal RNA, 253 nt
Filed under: uncultured bacterium
Lineage: Bacteria
Description: partial 16S ribosomal RNA
Rfam family: Bacterial small subunit ribosomal RNA
Source: RNAcentral